This 429-nucleotide ribosomal RNA is filed under the name Pseudomonadota bacterium. RNAcentral describes it as "Proteobacteria bacterium partial 16S ribosomal RNA". It matches the Rfam family "Bacterial small subunit ribosomal RNA", at positions 355 to 776 of the family's 1533-position model. Lineage: Bacteria; Pseudomonadati; Pseudomonadota. The record is from RNAcentral.
UGGGGAAUAUUGUACAAUGGGCGAAAGCCUGAUCCAGCCAUGCCGCGUGUGUGAAGAAGGUCUUCGGAUUGUAAAGCACUUUAAGUUGGGAGGAAGGGCAGUAAGCGAAUACCUUGCUGUUUUGACGUUACCGACAGAAUAAGCACCGUCUAACUCUGUGCCAGCAGCCGCGGUAAUACAGAGGGUGCAAGCGUUAAUCGGAAUUACUGGGCGUAAAGCGCGCGUAGGUGGCUCGUUAAGUUGAAUGUGAAAGCCCCGGGCUCAACCUGGGAACUGCAUCCAAAGCUGGCGAGCUAGAGUAGGGCAGAGGGUGGUGGAAUUACCUGUGUAGCGGUGAGAUGCGUAGAUAUAGGAAGGAACACCAGUGGCGGAGGCGACCACCUGGGCUUAUACUGACACUGAGGUGCGAAAGCGUGGGGAGCAAACAGG